Molecule: ribosomal RNA, 515 nt
Filed under: uncultured bacterium
Lineage: Bacteria
Description: bacterial SSU rRNA
Rfam family: Bacterial small subunit ribosomal RNA
Source: RNAcentral
GGCAGCGGGGGGUAGCUUGCUACCUCGCCGGCGAGUGGCGGACGGGUGAGUAAUGCCUGGGGAGCUGCCCAAUCGAGGGGGAUACCAGUUGGAAACGACUGCUAAUACCGCAUACGCCCUGAGGGGGAAAGGUGGGGAUCUUCGGACCUACCGCGAUUGGAUGCGCCCAGGUGGGAUUAGCUAGUUGGUGAGGUAACGGCUCACCAAGGCGACGAUCUCUAGCUGGUCUGAGAGGAUGACCAGCCACACUGGAACUGAGACACGGUCCAGACUCCUACGGGAGGCAGCAGUGGGGAAUAUUGCACAAUGGGGGAAACCCUGAUGCAGCCAUGCCGCGUGUGUGAAGAAGGCCUUCGGGUUGUAAAGCACUUUCAGUCAGGAGGAAAGGUGGCUAGCUAAUACCUAGUUGCUGUGACGUUACUGACAGAAGAAGCACCGGCUAACUCCGUGCCAGCAGCCGCGGUAAUACGGAGGGUGCAAGCGUUAAUCGGAAUUACUGGGCGUAAAGCGCACGC